Molecule: RNA transcript, 2035 nt
Organism: Zingiber officinale
Lineage: Eukaryota; Viridiplantae; Streptophyta; Magnoliopsida; Zingiberales; Zingiberaceae
Gene name: porphobilinogen deaminase, chloroplastic-like
Exons: 6
Source: RefSeq, a predicted model, not a curated record
CUAGAUGAAUGCUCGGUGCAGCGAUUUGACAUUUAAGAAUCUAAUUACAGUGUAGAAUUUUGUCUCUGGAACGACAUUAGUCAUUUGAAUAAGCCUUCGCUUUUGUAGCAAAAGCGGCGAAAAUCCACUAACAUUAUCGAUUCCCCUCUCCAGUCCCCGGAAUCCGUAAAACCCCGGAAUCCAGUCCCAAAUCUUGAUGGCGGCUUCCGAGCGUCUCCAGUUAUGUCCAUUCUCCACGCCUUCUUUUCUUCUGGAAUUGGGGGAAUUAGCAUAGGCUGGUCGACAUGGGAAUGACUUCGUUUCGCGCUGCUUCUUCGAUCUUGUGGCCUGGAGAGCCUUCUCUCCUCCCCUGCUUCGAAACCCUAUGGGAGGCGGACCGUGGUCGUCAGAUCAGCUAUGACUGUGGAUUAGGAGUACUCCAAGGCUCAGGUCACCCUUGUGUGAAUUGGCACCCGCGGGAGGACAGUACAUUAGCACUUGCCCAUGCCUAAGAGUCCUGGGAUAAACUAAUCUCAACACACCCGGAGCUAGCUGAGGAAGGAGCUAUUCACAUAGUAAUCAUUAAGACAACAGGAGACAAGAUACUUGAUCAAUCUCUUGAAGACAUUGGCGGCGAUGGCUUAUUCACAAAAGAUAUAGAUGAGGCACAGUUGGUGGGUAGAUUUGAUAUUGCAGUGCACUCAAUGAAGGAUGUUCCCACUUAUCUUCCAGAUGGUACAAUAUUGCCUUGCAACCUUCCUCGAGAAGAUGUAACGGAUGUGCUCAUUUGCUUAACUGCAAGGACUCUCUCCGAGCUACCUGCUGGAAGUGUUAUCGGAACUGCCUCCCUCAGGAGACAGUCUCAAAUUUUAUACAGAUAUCCAUAACUAGAGGUUGUUAACUUGGACUGCCCAGAACUGAUUGAAGAAACUUAAUGAAGACAACGAAACCGACGAGGCAGGAGGUGAUGACGGGCCAGCUCGGAACAAUGACAGCACAACCCAAAGACCCUCCAGAUUAAUUCCACAUUUAGCUAUGUUUAUUUUCUUCAAGUCGUGAUGUAAUUUUAUUUGAACCAAGAACCACUAUGGAUGCAUGAAUAUGUGGUGUCCGCAAUUUAUAAAUUAUAAAAAAGAACACUAGGGGCGUUACAUGUUUUUGCUGUUUCUGCUAUGCACAAACUUCAUGCCACUAGGAUAGUUAUCCUUAAUUCUUUUCUAUGGUUUGACUUUAAAUUUCGUUCCAACUCCUUGAAGUAAACACAAAAGGUUGCUCAUGCGGGUGAGUUUGACACAGGAAUUAUAUAUCUAAUUUUUAGCAUUACCUUUAAUGACAUGGUAACUUUGUGACUCAAGAUGUUCAAGUAAUUGUUAUAAUAACACUACAAAUUCCACAAAACACAUAGCAUUCUUACUUCUAUAUCAAUAUGGGCAUAUCUAUUUUUUUUUUCUGUGUGCAUGCGAUAUACAAUGGGCAUUGACAUUUCUUUGAUUGUGAAUCAGGCUAACUGUAUAGCUUCGUUGAACCAUCAUUAUACUCAAUUAGCUGAUGUUUGUGAAAGGGCAUUUCUUGAGACACUUGAUUGGUCUUGUCGUACACCAAUUGCUGGCCACGCUCAUCGUGAUACUGAUGGAUAUUGUGUUCUAAGGUGUUUGAUCAAUUCAUCUGAUGGAAAACGAGCACUAGAGACUUCGAAAAAAGGCUUAUAUGCUCUUGAUGAUAUGGUGGCAAUGGGAAAAGACAUAGGCAGAGUUACUUUCAAGAGCUUGCCUGGGUUUCUUCAAUUGGCCUCAAGAUUAAACCACGCAGGAGCUGUAUUCCUAAUUCCUGUAUCAUCUGACAUCUUAAACUAUUCUCUUACUCCUCUUCUAAUAAAGAAGUUUGAGAUGGAUGCAUGAGAUUAUUAAUGGGAUAAAAUAAAUUGUGAGCAAGUAAAUCUACCUGAUACAUGAUUACAUGAUAUAAAGUAGAUCAUGACUGUAUGUAUUUACUUGUGGAUGAUGGAUGCAGUUCAUGGAUAGGUUUAAUCAAUUAGAGGGUUUGUGUUUUAAGAAUA